This 74-nucleotide transfer RNA is filed under the name Bdellovibrio sp. CG10_big_fil_rev_8_21_14_0_10_47_8. RNAcentral's name for it is "tRNA-Phe". It matches the Rfam family "tRNA". Rfam says of the family: Transfer RNA (tRNA) molecules are approximately 80 nucleotides in length. Their secondary structure includes four short double-helical elements and three loops (D, anti-codon, and T loops). Further hydrogen bonds mediate the characteristic L-shaped molecular structure. tRNAs have two regions of fundamental functional importance: the anti-codon, which is responsible for specific mRNA codon recognition, and the 3' end, to which the tRNAs corresponding amino acid is attached (by aminoacyl-tRNA synthetases). tRNAs cope with the degeneracy of the genetic code in two manners: having more than one tRNA (with a specific anti-codon) for a particular amino acid; and 'wobble' base-pairing, i.e. permitting non-standard base-pairing at the 3rd anti-codon position. Lineage: Bacteria; Pseudomonadati; Bdellovibrionota; Bdellovibrionia; Bdellovibrionales; Pseudobdellovibrionaceae. The record is from RNAcentral.
GCCGCUGUGGUGUAACUGGUGUGUCACGUUAGUCUGAAGAACUUGAGGUCCCCGUUCGAACCGGGGCGGCGGCA